GUACCUUCAAGCUCUGCUUGGUGUUGGGUGUUUGUCUCGCCUUUGCGUGUAGACUCGCCUCAAAACGAUUGGCAGCCGGCGUAAUGAUUUCGGAGCGCAGUACAUCUCGCGCCUUGCACUCAUAGCGACGACGUCCAAAAAGUACAUUUUUACAC
This 155-nucleotide unclassified non-coding RNA is filed under the name uncultured Phyllosticta. RNAcentral's name for it is "sequence contains ITS2". The record is from RNAcentral. Lineage: Eukaryota; Fungi; Ascomycota; Dothideomycetes; Botryosphaeriales; Phyllostictaceae.